GUUCUCACUUUAGCAGGACAUAUACUAAAAUUGGAACAAUACAGAGAAGAUUAACAUGGCCCUGCGCAAGGAUGACAUGCAAAUUUGUGAAAUGUUCCAUAUUUUU
Rana temporaria (common frog) is the source of this 106-nucleotide small nuclear RNA. NCBI's taxonomy places the organism in Eukaryota, Metazoa, Chordata, Amphibia, Anura, Ranidae. The record is from RefSeq and is a predicted model, not a curated record.